GACCAUUGAAAUUUUUUUUUUCUAGAUUUGUGAACAUUUGCAUAUAUAUAAUAAAAAAUGUAGUUAAAAUUAUAUAAAAAAUUAACUAGUCGACUAAGCUUGCAAGUAUUCUAGUCAUCUUUUAAAAUAAUGUGAUUCAUUAAAAGUAAUCCUGAAAUUUAAUGAAAAAUGUUAAAAGAAUUGUGGAUUCAACUGGCUAAUUUAAAAUCUUAGUAGAUCUAAAAGGCUAACAAUCCACGCAUGUUUUUCCACUUAUUAUUAUUAUUAUUAUUGUUA
This 276-nucleotide unclassified non-coding RNA is filed under the name Hevea brasiliensis (rubber tree). Lineage: Eukaryota; Viridiplantae; Streptophyta; Magnoliopsida; Malpighiales; Euphorbiaceae. The record is from RNAcentral.